Molecule: long non-coding RNA, 1588 nt
Organism: Cyprinus carpio carpio
Lineage: Eukaryota; Metazoa; Chordata; Actinopteri; Cypriniformes; Cyprinidae
Source: Ensembl
UCUGUUCCUAGUGGGCCACUGUCCUGCAGAGUUUGGUUUUAGAAAAACUGUAUUCCUAGAACUCCCGAAUGGAAUAGUUAACAUAAGCCUGUGCGUCACAAGUGACAUAAUCAAAAUAGGAAAAACAUUUCAGAGGUUGUUUCAAUUGAUUACAUUUUGUCGAAAGAUUAUGAAAACAUUAUUUUACAUCCACAAUAACAAAUGAACCUAAAUGAAAUACUAUCAUUUUAAAUUUAUUAUGAUUUUAAUGGCUUAAAAUAUUGAUAAUGUCUGGGCUACUGUGAAGAGCUCUCAAGGUUUGUUGGGUUUCGGUGUGUGUCUUCUGAUUACAUGCAACUGCCCCGGGGUGAAUAGAGAGAGAAUGACAGAAAUGGAAGGAGGUAAAACAGAGGCAGGGAGGGAGAAGGAGCUAAUGCAUGGUGUGUACUCAGCUAGUAAACUUGAUGCUGAUGGUUCCCUAGGCUUUAAUAACACACAUACACAAAUCAAACACACACACACACGUUUUCCCCUAGUGCACCUUGUCCUCAGGAAAGUCUUCAUCAGGGACAUUUCUUUUAUGGCCUCUGAAUGGACAUUGUGUAGCAAUGUAUUCAGACUCAAUCAGAUGACCAGCCCCCAAGCGAAGGCACAGAUAGAAAGAAAGAGAAAGGGAGAGAGAGAACGAGAGAAGAGAAGGGAUGGGACGGGAGAGAGAGAGAGGAAGAAGACUGAAGGGAGGGAGGCGAUUCUGUGAGCAGAACAGUGCUGCACAACUGCGUGUCUGUCCUCAGUGAGUGUACACUGAAAUAACAACAGGUUUUUUCAAGAAGCAGAACACGUUGACUACAUUAUCUAGAGACAGCUGAUUUCCCUCCUAAAGUCGAGACAUGGAAAGAACAGAGAACAAAGUGUCCACCAUCUCCCCGCAAAAACAGACAGUAAAAAAUCGAUCCAAGUCCACAGAGGAGGUACAGCAAGCCAAAAAGGCCUUUCAUACACCACAAAAAUCUCUACCGGCUAAACCAGAAACCGAACAACUAGAGGUAAACAUGAAAUGAUGAAUUAUGGGCUGUUUUAGAGCUUGACUUUGAAAAAAAAAAAAUAGAUCAAAGAUUAGACCAAAGACCAGUCAGUGCUGCUUGUGCUGUCAGAGCUGCUUUAUUAUGUGCUUCAUGUUUGUGUUUGAUGUCCUCGAUUACAUUGUGUCUAAUGUGUUAAUAUAUUUUACAGGAAACCUCAGAACUGAGUGCCUCAUCAGAGGAGUUCAAAUGAUUGCUCGAUUCAAACUUCGGGGCUUUGAGAUUUAGACAGAUGAGCUGGAAUUAUGGGUAAUCACAAGAGGAUGAUUCAGUGUCUCUGUUUAUAAAAUUGUGAAGUUUUAAUUAGUUUAGUUAGCAUAGAAGAAAACAAUAAUCAUGUAGCUUCUUGAAUUUGUAUGAGUCUGAUAAUGUUUGUGAAAUAAAUGCACAACUGGAUAUCACAGUGAAUUGUGUAUGUGAUUCAUAUUAACAGGUUCAUACAGUACAUGUACAGUUGUUGUGACUUGUAAAUAAUCAAACUUGAAAAACUAAAUUCAAUUAAAAAUAUCACAGAUGCACUUUAUUUU